Molecule: long non-coding RNA, 328 nt
Filed under: Homo sapiens (human)
Lineage: Eukaryota; Metazoa; Chordata; Mammalia; Primates; Hominidae
Description: HSALNT0231734
Source: RNAcentral
UCCACCACGCCUCCCACCUGCCCCACUGCUUCUUCUCCUCUCCCUUAGGAACUCUAGCUUCACCUCGCUUCGUAAUGGACCCCAAUUGCUCCUGCUCCACUAGCUGCUGCUCCUGCUGCCCCGUGGGCUGUGCCAAGUGUGCCCAGGGAUGUGUUUGCAAAGGGACACUGACAAGUGCAGCUGCUGCUCCUGAUGUAGGGAAAGCUGUGUUCCCAGAAGUAGAAAGUGUACAAACCUGGAAUUGUUUUCCAUACAACCCUGACCCAUUAGUACAUUUGGGUUUCUAAAAAUAAAAUAUGUUAAUGAUAAUAAAAGUUGACUUUAUUCU